RNAcentral lists this ribosomal RNA (765 nucleotides) under uncultured Streptococcus sp. RNAcentral describes it as "bacterial SSU rRNA". It matches the Rfam family "Bacterial small subunit ribosomal RNA", at positions 28 to 776 of the family's 1533-position model. The record is from RNAcentral. Lineage: Bacteria; Bacillati; Bacillota; Bacilli; Lactobacillales; Streptococcaceae.
GACGAACGCUGGCGGCGUGCCUAAUACAUGCAAGUAGAACGCUGAAGAGAGGAGCUUGCUCUUCUUGGAUGAGUUGCGAACGGGUGAGUAACGCGUAGGUAACCUGCCUUGUAGCGGGGGAUAACUAUUGGAAACGAUAGCUAAUACCGCAUAACAAUGGAUGACACAUGUCAUUUAUUUGAAAGGGGCAAUUGCUCCACUACAAGAUGGACCUGCGUUGUAUUAGCUAGUAGGUGAGGUAACGGCUCACCUAGGCGACGAUACAUAGCCGACCUGAGAGGGUGAUCGGCCACACUGGGACUGAGACACGGCCCAGACUCCUACGGGAGGCAGCAGUAGGGAAUCUUCGGCAAUGGGGGCAACCCUGACCGAGCAACGCCGCGUGAGUGAAAAAGGUUUUCGGAUCGUAAAGCUCUGUUGUAAGUCAAGAACGAGUGUGAGAGUGGAAAGUUCACACUGUGACGGUAGCUUACCAGAAAGGGACGGCUAACUACGUGCCAGCAGCCGCGGUAAUACGUAGGUCCCGAGCGUUGUCCGGAUUUAUUGGGCGUAAAGCGAGCGCAGGCGGUUUGAUAAGUCUGAAGUUAAAGGCUGUGGCUCAACCAUAGUUCGCUUUGGAAACUGUCAAACUUGAGUGCAGAAGGGGAGAGUGGAAUUCCAUGUGUAGCGGUGAAAUGCGUAAAUAUAUGGAGGAACACCGGUGGCGAAAGCGGCUCUCUGGUCUGUAACUGACGCUGAGGCUCGAAAGCGUGGGGAGCGAACAGG